GACGAACGCUGACGGCGUGCUUAACACAUGCAAGUCGAAGGGAGUGGCGAACGGGUGAGUAACACGUGAGUAACCUGCCCUUUUCUUUGGGAUAAGCCUGGGAAACUGGGUCUAAUACUGGAUGGAUUGGGAUGGGCUCGCGGCUUAUCAGCUUGUUGGUGGGGUGAUGGCUUACCAAGGCUUUGACGGGUAGCCGGCCUGAGAGGGUUGUGGGUCACGCGUGGACGUAGGUACGGCCCAGGCUCCUGCGGGAGGCGGCAGUGGGGGAUAUUGCACAAUGGACGAAAGGCUGAUGCAGGGACGUCGGGUGGGGGAUGAAGGCCUUCGGGUUGUAAACUCCUUUCGCCAGCGGAAUGGUAGUGGGUAAAGAAGCGCCGGCUAACUACGUGCCAGCCGCCGCGGUAAUUC
RNAcentral lists this ribosomal RNA (408 nucleotides) under uncultured bacterium. RNAcentral describes it as "partial 16S ribosomal RNA". It matches the Rfam family "Bacterial small subunit ribosomal RNA", at positions 28 to 526 of the family's 1533-position model. The record is from RNAcentral.